RNAcentral lists this transfer RNA (64 nucleotides) under Euaspis polynesia. RNAcentral describes it as "tRNA-Thr". Lineage: Eukaryota; Metazoa; Arthropoda; Insecta; Hymenoptera; Megachilidae. The record is from RNAcentral.
GUUUUAGUAGUUUAAAUAAAAACAUUAAUUUUGUAAAUUAAUAUUAAAAUAUAUUUCUAAAACU